GCAGAUGGCUGGAUGGCCGCCGCUGCGUUCGCGCAGGGGAGGAAAGUCCGGGCUCCAUGGAAACACGGUGCCGGUUAAUGGCCGGCGAGGGCGACCUCAGGGAAAGUGCCACAGAAAGCAAACCGCCAU
This 129-nucleotide RNase P RNA is filed under the name Alphaproteobacteria bacterium. Its description in RNAcentral is "partial RNase P RNA component class A". It matches the Rfam family "Bacterial RNase P class A", at positions 1 to 132 of the family's 367-position model. Rfam says of the family: Ribonuclease P (RNase P) is a ubiquitous endoribonuclease, found in archaea, bacteria and eukarya as well as chloroplasts and mitochondria. Its best characterised activity is the generation of mature 5'-ends of tRNAs by cleaving the 5'-leader elements of precursor-tRNAs. Lineage: Bacteria; Pseudomonadati; Pseudomonadota; Alphaproteobacteria. The record is from RNAcentral.